CGUCGCCUGUUUUAUCAAAAACAUAGCUAAAUGAUUUUUAUAUUUAGUGUUGCCUGCUCAAUGAGAUAUACUUUAAUUGCCGCAGUACCCUGACUGUGCUAAGGUAGCAUAAUAAUUUGGCUUAUAAUUGAAGUCUAGAAUGAAUGGAUUUUUGAAUAAUAACUGUCUUAAUUUAAUUCCAAAAAAGUUUUUUAAUAGGUGAAAAAACCUAUAUUUUUAGAAAUUAGACGAGAAGACCCUUAGAAUUUUAAAUAAUAAAAAUUAAAUUUUUGGUUUUUUGUUGGGGCGACAAAAUUACAUUCUAAACUAAUUUAUAUUUAGUAAUCUAUUUAAGAAAAGUGUUAAGGUGAAUAAAUUACCUAAGGGAUAACAGCAUAAUUUUUUAAUUAGAUUGUGACCUCGAUGUUGGACUAGGAAAUAAUAAAGCUAGCAGUUAUAUUAUAUAGU
Molecule: ribosomal RNA, 447 nt
Filed under: Haplotrema vancouverense
Lineage: Eukaryota; Metazoa; Mollusca; Gastropoda; Stylommatophora; Haplotrematidae
Description: partial 16S ribosomal RNA
Rfam family: Archaeal large subunit ribosomal RNA (bases 1-212)
Source: RNAcentral